GGGGUCCUUUGGGCCCUAUAAUAUGCAAGACCCAACUGUUUUGCACAUAAAACGGAAGACAGAAA
This 65-nucleotide non-coding RNA is filed under the name unclassified sequences. RNAcentral describes it as "L2-Alphaproteobacteria ribosomal protein leader". It matches the Rfam family "L2-Alphaproteobacteria ribosomal protein leader". The record is from RNAcentral.